This 439-nucleotide ribosomal RNA is filed under the name uncultured bacterium. RNAcentral's name for it is "bacterial SSU rRNA". It matches the Rfam family "Bacterial small subunit ribosomal RNA", at positions 351 to 782 of the family's 1533-position model. The record is from RNAcentral.
GCAGUGGGGAAUAUUGGACAAUGGGCGAAAGCCUGAUCCAGCCAUGCCGCGUGUGUGAAGAAGGUCUUCGGAUUGUAAAGCACUUUAAGUUGGGAGGAAGGGCAAUCAGCAAAUACCUGGUUGUUUUGACGUUACCGACAGAAUAAGCACCGGCUAACUCUGUGCCAGCAGCCGCGGUAAUACAGAGGGUGCAAGCGUUAAUCGGAAUUACUGGGCGUAAAGCGCGCGUAGGUGGUUUGUUAAGUUGAAUGUGAAAUCCCCGGGCUCAACCUGGGAACUGCAUCCAAAACUGGCAAGCUAGAGUAGGGCAGAGGGUGGUGGAAUUUCCUGUGUAGCGGUGAAAUGCGUAGAUAUAGGAAGGAACACCAGUGGCGAAGGCGACCACCUGGGCUCAUACUGACACUGAGGUGCGAAAGCGUGGGGAGCAAACAGGAUUAGA